UUGUGGCCCAGUAGUAAAAGUUUGGAAUCAAGAGGUUUGCUCUCUCUGUGGUCUCAGGUUCAAGCCUUGUAGUUGCUCAUAUGAUGGCCACUGGAGGCUUACAUGGUCGUUAACUUCAGGGCCCGUGGGAUUAGUUGAGGUGUGGGCAAGCUGACCCGGACACCCACGUUAAACUAAAAAAAAAAUAUUAUCAUUACCACUCAUACUCUGAUCCCUGUCUGAAGUUUUUAUGUCCCAAUGGCAUGAUAUUUUCCAAAGUAUUAUUGUUGUCCUCCAAGCUCAAGUAUCAUCUCCAUCCUCUAAACUCAAGUCUUGUCAUUGUUCUCGACAUUCAAGCAUUGCCCACGGAUCGGCUCCAAGGGUGCUGACGAGAUGAGUACGUACGCCCUCCAGUGUGCACGUGCUCUCUAGUUUGCACUUGUCCUCCGAAGUAUCUUUGCCCUCCGAUGUGCACAUGCCUGCGUCCUCCGAUGUAUUUAUGCCCUCGAAUGUGUAUCCAUUCACCCUCCAAAGCAGCCUGAAUUAUUAGUCUAGCAAUGAAAGGCAGUUGGAUCCUAGCAGGCCAUUGGACCUCGAGACUCGCAGCUGCCAUACGAGCCAGGGAAAUGUUUCAAUUUACCUGGCUCAGCAGGUCCCAUCGGUGCAUUAAUAUUCUUGUCUAUUUCACCAAAAGAAAUCUUCUUUUCCUAGCUAGGAUAUUAUAAUUGAUAUUUUGUGAAAAAUACUCUCGAAGGCAUUACGUGUAUUCUUCGUCUCCUUACAUCAAUGAGUAUUAUUACAUAUCCAAGACUA
Long non-coding RNA from Populus trichocarpa (black cottonwood), 792 nucleotides. RefSeq lists it as uncharacterized. The transcript has 2 exons. NCBI's taxonomy places the organism in Eukaryota, Viridiplantae, Streptophyta, Magnoliopsida, Malpighiales, Salicaceae. The record is from RefSeq and is a predicted model, not a curated record.